GUGGGGAAUAUUGGACAAUGGGCGAAAGCCUGAUCCAGCCAUGCCGCGUGUGUGAAGAAGGUCUUCGGAUUGUAAAGCACUUUAAGUUGGGAGGAAGGGCAGUAAGUUAAUACCUUGCUGUUUUGACGUUACCGACAGAAUAAGCACCGGCUAACUUCGUGCCAGCAACCGCGGUAAUACGAAGGGUGCAAGCGUUAAUCGGAAUUACUGGGCGUAAAGCGCGCGUAGGUGGUUUUGUAAGUUGGAGGUGAAAUCCCCGGGCUCAACCUGGGAACUGCCUCCAAAACUGCAUGACUAGAGUACGGUAGAGGGUAGUGGAAUUUCCUGUGUAGCGGUGAAAUGCGUAGAUAUAGGAAGGAACACCAGUGGCGAAGGCGACUACCUGGACUGAUACUGACACUGAGGUGCGAAAGCGUGGGGAGCAAACAGGAUUAGAAACCCCUGUAGUCC
RNAcentral lists this ribosomal RNA (450 nucleotides) under uncultured bacterium. Its description in RNAcentral is "partial 16S ribosomal RNA". It matches the Rfam family "Bacterial small subunit ribosomal RNA", at positions 354 to 796 of the family's 1533-position model. The record is from RNAcentral.